UGGGGAAUAUUGCACAAUGGACGGAAGUUUGAUGCAGCGACGCCGCGUGGAGGGUGUAGGCCUUCGGGUUGUGAACUCCUUUUUCUCGCGAAAAAGGCACAGUUUUGGCUGUGUUGAUGGUAGUGGGGGAAGAAGCGCCGGCUAACUACGUGCCAGCAGCCGCGGUAAUACGUAGGGCGCGAGCGUUGUCCGGAUUUAUUGGGCGUAAAGAGCUCGUAGGAGGUUCGUCGCGUCUGUCGUGAAAGCCAGCAGCUUAACUGUUGGUCUGCGGUGGGUACGGGCGGGCUUGAGUGCGGUAGGGGUGACUGGAAUUCCGGGUGUAGCGGUGGAAUGCGCAGAUAUCAGGAGGAACACCGAUGGCGAAGGCAGGUCACUGGGCCGUUACUGACACUGAGGAGCGAAAGCGUGGGGAGCGAACAGG
Molecule: ribosomal RNA, 421 nt
Filed under: Fusobacteriota bacterium
Lineage: Bacteria; Fusobacteriati; Fusobacteriota
Description: Fusobacteria bacterium partial 16S ribosomal RNA
Rfam family: Bacterial small subunit ribosomal RNA
Source: RNAcentral